This 456-nucleotide long non-coding RNA is filed under the name Lathyrus oleraceus (garden pea). RNAcentral's name for it is "Pisum sativum (pea) long non-coding RNA (PSAT_LNC035667)". The record is from RNAcentral. Lineage: Eukaryota; Viridiplantae; Streptophyta; Magnoliopsida; Fabales; Fabaceae.
GGGUGCAGUAGCAUUGAGAGAGUGUGCACGCAGGCCAAAAUCUCUUGGGCCAAAGGCCCAAGUCUCACCAACACCAUUAGGUUUCACAACAAAACUUCAGAGCGUACCUUCAAACUUUCCCCAGAAUGAGCGAUUGUGAGACCUCACAGACCAACGGAAGCCGCUCGCGUUAACCUCGUAUCAUUGAUGCCGGUACAUCAUCGAUGAGGGAGAAGAAUCACCUUCAAUCGGUAACGCAUGGUCGACGUAGAGCAAGAAUCAGCCUCAAUCAAGGAUCCACCGUCGGCGAAAAGCGAGAGUCAACCUUCAAUCGAAAAUGCGUUGUUGAUGAAAAUUGAUCGUUGACGAUGAUUGGGGUGGAGCGAUGCGUCGCCACUUGAAGUGGAACGCAGAACGACGAUGCUCGAGUCGAAAGAUGAAGAACGGAAGCGAACCAAAUCCGAAAAGGUAUCGUCG